This 420-nucleotide ribosomal RNA is filed under the name uncultured Flavobacteriaceae bacterium. RNAcentral describes it as "bacterial SSU rRNA". It matches the Rfam family "Bacterial small subunit ribosomal RNA", at positions 356 to 773 of the family's 1533-position model. The record is from RNAcentral. Lineage: Bacteria; Pseudomonadati; Bacteroidota; Flavobacteriia; Flavobacteriales; Flavobacteriaceae.
AAGGAAUAUUGGUCAAUGGACGAAAGUCUGAACCAGCCAUGCCGCGUGCAGGAUGACUGCCCUAUGGGUUGUAAACUGCUUUUAUAUAGGAAGAAAAACUUUCUCGUGAGAAAGCUUGACGGUACUAUAAGAAUAAGGAUCGGCUAACUCCGUGCCAGCAGCCGCGGUAAUACGGAGGAUCCAAGCGUUAUCCGGAAUCAUUGGGUUUAAAGGGUCCGUAGGUGGACAAAUAAGUCAGAGGUGAAAUCCUGCAGCUCAACUGUAGAACUGCCUUUGAUACUGUUUGUCUUGAGUUAUUAUGAAGUGGUUAGAAUGUGUAGUGUAGCGGUGAAAUGCAUAGAUAUUACACAGAAUACCGAUUGCGAAGGCAGAUCACUAAUAAUCAACUGACACUGAUGGACGAAAGCGUGGGUAGCGAAC